UUGUCUUUAUCCUUCUCAUGAGGGUCACAGGGAGCCUGAGCCAAUCCGAGGUCAUGGUCACUAACCCGGGUGUUUUUGCUGUAAGACAACGGUGCUAACCACCGCUCCACCGUGUGGCCCGGAUUCAGCUGGAAAGACUCACGCAAAAGUCCAGCUGAACCUCCUCCUCAGGAAAUACGCUCAAAAGAGCCUGGACCUCGUCGUCUGUCCACUUGUCGUCUUGUUUAAAGGUGGGUUGCAGCCACGCUGGUUUAAACAGCUGCAAAAUGUGUUCUACCAAUCAGCGUUCUUCAGCACACAGCCCCGCCCCUCUAAAGUUCUGAAAACAAUGAGAAACACCUUGGUGCAUGGGGGAGAAUCGCUGACCAUCGAAGACGGAGCAUUGGGACUCAUCACUUCAUAUCAGGACACAAUGGGUUAGAGCAAGAAUGAAGCCAGUGAGAGCAAAUGAUUUGGAUUCGUGCCCUGCUGCAUUAGAUACUUGGAGAGCUGGAUAACGUCUGUGCGAUGAAUAGCCAUCUCCAAUCUGACCUCGAGUGACCCAGCACAUUAUGUGUUCAGGUGGGAGGUGAUGCAUCAGCUCGAGCAGGCGUCUUAUUAGCCGAGCGCUAACAGGCAGCCUGUGUUCCCAUGGGGGCUGAAUGCUGCUGAGUCAUCCGCUACAAGCUAAACAACCAUGAUGCAGCGGGGGCUGCAGUGUGAAAGCUGACAAAUUUCGCCACCAAGCCAAAGCUGUAAAGAAAAAAGAAAGAAGGAAAAAAAAGUGACCUACAUUGGCUGCUGGGGGAAAAAAAAAAGACUCAUCUGCAAGUGGCCCGUUUCUCUGCAGCGUCCAUCUUGGGUUUUUACCCCGAGGCCAGUGGGAUGUGAACGGUGCUGUCUCUCUCUACAUGGGAUCUUUUGUCCUCUCCACCUUCUCAAUAAUUCAAUGGAAAGAGGAGACAUCAGCUCUGGUAUAAUUACUGUGUGAGUGUGACAAGCUCCUCUGUCAAGGGCAAGAUGAGGCCGAGCUUUACGGUGCUGGAGAAGGCUAAAAGACACAGUAAUAAUCUGUACCAUGAAGGUACAGCUACUGGGACAUGAUGAAACUGCAGGUACUCCGGAAAAGGUCUGGACUAAAACGUAUCAAGUCUCUUGCUGUAGGAGGGAUGACAUUAGAUCACUGAAGAGGUUCCCUGACUGUCUGUGACUCACGAUGUAAAAGCCUGAGCUGAUCCAAGACCAGCACCGAUAAUGAAACACUUAAUUAUGUUUUCUGAAUCAAAUUCCAAAAAACAUUCAAAGCAUGAAGAAUGAUCCAAGCAUUCAAGGAUUACAGCCCAGAGGAAAACAUUCAGCAGCUGAGGAGCUUCAGCGCAGACCAGACUUCUGCAGUGCACUUCUCACCUGGAUUCCCAGCAAUAGUCUUCAAUGACUACAGUGAAUUAAGAGCUCUCUGUCCUGAUCUCCGCUCAUCAGAUAAACAUGCAACAAACGCGUUUGAUUCAUCGCUUCUCUUCAUCUCUGAAAGUCUCUGCUGACAGUGACGUGUGUUGUGUUGCAUUCAUUGUAUGACCAACACUGUGGAUGUUAAGGAGUGUGUGAGCUGUUUGUGUGUUCAUGAAUACUUGUGACUAAGAUGACGAUCAUCAUUUUAUGACACAUUUAUGCUGAAAACACUUAAUUCUAGUCUUAAUUCUAUGUUUUAUUGUCUCUUUUUUUUGCUCAUUCUUGCUCUGUAAAUGCUUUUCUUAAUGUAAUUGUGCCGUCAAUUAAAUGAGUUUAUUCUUUGUCUUCUUUAAUAGUUCAUCUU
Long non-coding RNA from Solea senegalensis (Senegalese sole), 1792 nucleotides. RefSeq lists it as uncharacterized. The record is from RefSeq and is a predicted model, not a curated record. Lineage: Eukaryota; Metazoa; Chordata; Actinopteri; Pleuronectiformes; Soleidae. The transcript is spliced from 13 exons.